GGUCCAAAUUUGAAGUAGAGUAGAUUAGUAUGGUCAGCUGAUCCUACUGAUCUACUCUACUUCGAGUUUGUGCCC
Haemonchus contortus (barber pole worm) is the source of this 75-nucleotide non-coding RNA. The record is from Rfam. Lineage: Eukaryota; Metazoa; Nematoda; Chromadorea; Rhabditida; Trichostrongylidae.